CGAACGCUGGCGGCGUGCUUAACACAUGCAAGUCGAACGGAAAGGCCCUGCUUUUGUGGGGUGCUCGAGUGGCGAACGGGUGAGUAACACGUGAGUAACCUGCCCUUGACUUUGGGAUAACUUCAGGAAACUGGGGCUAAUACCGGAUAGGAGCUCCUGCUGCAUGGUGGGGGUUGGAAAGUUUCGGCGGUUGGGGAUGGACUCGCGGCUUAUCAGCUUGUUGGUGGGGUAGUGGCUUACCAAGGUUUUGACGGGUAGCCGGCCUGAGAGGGUGACCGGCCACAUUGGGACUGAGAUACGGCCCAGACUCCUACGGGAGGCAGCAGUGGGGAAUAUUGCACAAUGGGCGGAAGCCUGAUGCAGCAACGCCGCGUGCGGGAUGACGGCCUUCGGGUUGUAAACCGCUUUCGCCUGUGACGAAGCGUGAGUGACGGUAAUGGGUAAAGAAGCACCGGCUAACUACGUG
This 466-nucleotide ribosomal RNA is filed under the name uncultured bacterium. RNAcentral describes it as "partial 16S ribosomal RNA". It matches the Rfam family "Bacterial small subunit ribosomal RNA", at positions 30 to 507 of the family's 1533-position model. The record is from RNAcentral.